UGAGCUGCUGGAUUUCUCAAGAGACUUAUCCGGCCGGCUACAGACCCUUUAGACCCAAUAAUAACGGUUACCACUCGAGCCGCCGGUGUUACCGCGGCGGCUGGCACCGGUCUUGCCCGGCCCUUGCUAUGCAAUGCUUUUUAGGCAUCACGACAGCCAGAUUUGUAACCUGGCACUCGAGGUCCCCUUAUCGCCGUUGCCGGCAUUGUAAAGUUUUCGCGCCUGCUGCACCCCGUAGGGCCUGGAUUCGUGUCUCAGAAUCCAUCUCCGGGCCCUUGCUCUCACAACCCGUACCCGUCGUAGGCUAGUAGGUACGCUACACCCACUACUACCUGAUAGGCCGCAGACCCAUCCUCUGGCGCCGGAGCUUUCGAUCUCGGGGCAUUCCAGCGACCGAGAUCUAUCGGGGAUUAUACCCAGUUUCCCGGGUUUAUACCCGUCCGGAGGGUAGGUUGUCCACGUGUUACUGAGCAGUACGCCAUGUAUUGCU
Molecule: ribosomal RNA, 490 nt
Filed under: uncultured archaeon
Lineage: Archaea
Description: partial 16S ribosomal RNA
Source: RNAcentral